Molecule: non-coding RNA, 546 nt
Organism: Cinara cedri
Lineage: Eukaryota; Metazoa; Arthropoda; Insecta; Hemiptera; Aphididae
Source: the annotation of a GenBank genome assembly
GACGUUUUUAAGCAUUUUUUUUAUGGAUUUUGAAGGCAUACAAAUACGUCCUCCACUCAUAAUAAGCAUAAAAUAUAAGGACGUAGUGUUGUGUUUGUGACUUUGUGUACACAAAUCUAUGAAAAACGCUACCUUAUAAUGAUGGUCUUCAAAUCUGACAUUCCUUCAUAAAAUAUAUGAAUGCUAUUGGUGCACAGUAAAAUAAAUAACGGAAAUUCUGUAGACAACCCGUUAAUGAGAUAUACUAAGCAAAUAAUUAAUGGUUUACAAAUAAUUCACCGCAGGAUAACAGUAUUUGGUUAGCAGCGCGGACCGAGAUUUACAGGAAACCGAAAACAAAAACCGACCGGUAGGUAAUGCGGGGCGUGCUAGUUAUUUGUUUCCUCUGUAAUCCAUUUCCUUCGCCAACAAUAACGUGAAGUGUCUAAUUCCAUAGAAAUUCGCCGGGACGACACUAGGAUAGUGGGAUUUAUAAAUGAAAGGAUCCCCCUGUACCUCGUAUUAUGCUUUUGUUUUUCCGGCCACGUUAUCCGCGCUCGUUUCCAG